This is a long non-coding RNA of Strigops habroptila (Kakapo), 1098 nucleotides long. RefSeq lists it as uncharacterized. The transcript has 5 exons. NCBI's taxonomy places the organism in Eukaryota, Metazoa, Chordata, Aves, Psittaciformes, Psittacidae. The record is from RefSeq and is a predicted model, not a curated record.
UUUUCAGUGCUGGCAUUUUAAAACCUUGAAGAUCUGGGAAUGGAUGUACAGAAAUUUCUCUCCAGUUCGUUCUAUUCCACAGUUAAGAAGAUAUUCCCUGCUGUCUUCCCACAUAUUUCCCUUAGAUUAUCCAAUGUGAAAAGCAUCUCAUGCGCUCUGUGACAAAGGCCUUCCAGAAGCCUUAUUAAUUCCAGGGAUUGGAUUGCUUGCCUUACUUCCACAUCUGUCUUCCUAACUUCUAAACAUGUGCAACAGUAGAAAUCUUUCAUUUUAAGGAAAUUACAUAUUCCCAACACCAAUAUUUUGAUGUGUGACCAGUCAGUUACUUCUGAUAUGGAUUUGGAGGAGUCCUGUGAAAAGUUUAGCUGAAUCUAAACACAUGGAUGUGUCAUCAUGGAGGUGGCUGAAGAAUCAACCAACCUCCACAGGUUACAACCUGAUCCAAGCCCAACUCAGUAGUGACUAAAAUUUGUUGCUACAGAACAAUAUUAGAAGAAGAACAAAUGGAUCCCUUGAAAAAAUUCAGGCUGAUAGUUAGAAGACAGUUUCUAACUAUCUGGAAUAGCAAGCAUUCUGCAGAAGGUUGUGGAACUGCCUUCAGAAGAAUAGUGGAAUGAGAUGGUUGAAAAUUGUUGAAGAUGAAGCUAGAUAAACUUCUGCAUGGGAUUGUUUGCGAUAAUUGCCUGCAGCAACAGGCAGCUGAAAUAAAAAAAGUUUAUGCUGUUGCAUUUGGUCUUUUGUGCAAUGAGAAGGAAUGCGAUGUCAGCCUGUAAGGAUGAACAUCUGUGUUACAGAAUGAGGAUGAUGAAUGUAGAGGCCAAGAACAGGAUGUACAUGGGUUACUUCUCACUGAGCAGAGGUGAGUUUUUGUCUACCAAAGACCUGCUCUGUUGCAAAUCACAAGGAAUUUCCACUGACACCAGUGGAAACAGGAAGACAUCAUUAGGUGAGAAGUGGCUUCUAAGAGUGCCUUUAGAAAUGAUUUUGUGAGUCCUUUCAAAUGCUUGCACUGUUAACUUCUAGGUGCAAAUGACCAUCGGAUCAAGUUUAACAGGAGAAAUGGGAGUCUGUGUUGUCACUUUAGCUAACACCAGAAGA